UACGUAGGAUCCAAGCGUUAUCCGGAUUUAUUGGGUUUAAAGGGUGCGUAGGUGGUUUUUUAAGUCAGGGGUGAAAGGCGGCAGCUUAACUGUCGCAGUGCCUUUGAUACUGAAGAACUUGAAUAAACUAGAGGUAGGCGGAAUGUGACAAGUAGCGGUGAAAUGCAUAGAUAUGUCACAGAACACCAAUUGCGAAGGCAGCUUACUAUGGUUUUAUUGGCGCUGAGGCACGAAAGCGUGGGGAUCAAACAGG
Molecule: ribosomal RNA, 253 nt
Filed under: uncultured bacterium
Lineage: Bacteria
Description: partial 16S ribosomal RNA
Rfam family: Bacterial small subunit ribosomal RNA
Source: RNAcentral